GAUUUGAAAGACUUGAUCCUUAGAACACGUGGCAUGUUGUUAUUGGGGAGAGUAUUGGUAAAGGCUUCUAUCCAUCGAAGAUCGAAGAUCGAUUUGGGAGAAAAAGCGUUCGGUAUAGACUUCCAUCCAUCGAAGAAUCUUGUAGCUGCUGGUCUCAUCGAUGGACACUUGCAUCUAUACCGUUACGGAGUCUUGCAGAGCUGUUCGGUUCAUUGAUGAUGGCCAAAUUUUGUCCCUUUAGCACUGAUUUGAGCUCAUGUCCGAGCAAUUGUAGUUGUUGGAUUUACAUUUUAUUCUUUGUCAUGGGUUUAUGGAUGGUUGUUAACCCUAUAAACAGAAACUUUUGAAUUGCAGAUUGAUCUCAUAAUUAACUGAUGGGUUCCAAAAUCGUCUUUCGAUCCCUCACCGAGUUAUUCCCACAAUUGAUGCAAGGAUUCUAAAAGCUGUAGCUAUUGAGCACCCUAAAGAUGCUGAUGUUGCUGCAGCUAUUGUUAUCUCUGAGAUUGUUCCCAAGUUUUACCCUGAUUUGGCUGAUGAUCCUUCUUCCCAACCUGACAACAAGACACCAGUGAAGGUCCCAGACAACAAAGUAGGACAUGAUAUGGCAAUUAGUGCGUCCUCUUUUCAGUAACAAGGGAUCAGUUGUCAAAAGUGAUUCCGAAUGGCGAUGUUGAUGUUCAGAGCAAAGCUCCGCGUGAUUACAGAAGAAUCAGUAGAAGUUGAUGAUACCAAGAGUUACGUUAGAGUUACACCCACGCCAACUCUUCCACAUUGUCACGUUUGCGAGCUUAUUGGCUUUGCAUCAUCACAAAACUUCUUAAAAGCCAUCCUUCUUGAUUUAAGGUUACAAGUAACUGUUGCGGCUGAAGAUUAGUCUGUUGCAUAUUGUAUAGUUUUUGCUCUGAGUCAUUCUUCUCGAAGAUUAGUCUGUUGCAUAUUGUAUAGUUUCUGCUCUGAGUCAUUCUUCUCGCAAGUUUUUGCUCUUAGACUUGUGUGCAUACAAUAUAAUAAAGUUUAAAUUCCUAAGGACUCUAUCUUGAGUUACACCAUUGAACAUGCA
Molecule: long non-coding RNA, 1060 nt
Organism: Raphanus sativus (radish)
Lineage: Eukaryota; Viridiplantae; Streptophyta; Magnoliopsida; Brassicales; Brassicaceae
Exons: 5
Source: RefSeq, a predicted model, not a curated record